This 266-nucleotide long non-coding RNA is filed under the name Elaeis guineensis (African oil palm). RNAcentral's name for it is "long non-coding RNA (EGUI_LNC074389)". Lineage: Eukaryota; Viridiplantae; Streptophyta; Magnoliopsida; Arecales; Arecaceae. The record is from RNAcentral.
CUUUCAUCCUUAUCCAUUUUGUGCGCCACAUUACUUACACGAGAAAAGGUUUCUCGUGAAACAUUUUCUACGCACAAAGAGCCACGCCCCUUCUCUUCUCACAUCCAAAAGGAUAGGGAUAAGUUGGUUUUCGUUUGAAUUCAAAUUUGAUUUGAAUUCAAAUGUGUAACCUCUUGUCUUUAUCCUCUCACGCGGAUAAGACACGUUCGACGUUGUUUUAAAAAGAGGAGAAAUGUGGGACGUGCGUAGAAAAUUUAGGAGAGAAA